GUGCUUCUGUGUGAAUGUCCAUUGAGAGAGUUGGAGAGGAGGCUGUCCCACGGACGAUGUUAAUUGGGAAGAGAUCGAUGGCUCCUGAGGAUUCGAGUACAAUGCAGAGGGAGUAGAAGAUGCGAUUGAGUCUGAACCCUUGGUCAAUCGUGAAAUCGGUGAAGCUAGCCGGAGAGUGACCCGUCGGCGAAAGGAGAGAUUUUUAUCGAUGAAUCCGUUAUGGAGAAUCGGAUUCCAAGAGAUUAGAGAUUGGGGUGAUUGCAAUUUCGAAGGCGAGAAUAACAUUGUGAAUGGUUUUAGCUCUAUUCGUCAGAAACCAUUGUUAAGCUUCGAGUCGACGAUAACAAUGGAUUUCAG
Long non-coding RNA from Arabidopsis thaliana (thale cress), 357 nucleotides. RefSeq annotates it as other RNA. The transcript has a single exon. Lineage: Eukaryota; Viridiplantae; Streptophyta; Magnoliopsida; Brassicales; Brassicaceae. The record is from RefSeq.